Clupea harengus (Atlantic herring) is the source of this 1065-nucleotide long non-coding RNA. Lineage: Eukaryota; Metazoa; Chordata; Actinopteri; Clupeiformes; Clupeidae. The record is from Ensembl.
AAAGACAAAGAAAAAAAAAAUAGUCUUCCGAUUUCGAGUGUAAUGUUAUAGUGAUAAAAUAAACAUCUGACAGCCUGGCCAAUGGCUAUUUGAAAAGUAUGUUAAUAUAAUAUCAAACAAAAACUUUUGCAGACCUGUCCUCCUUUAUUAAUGAUGGACUCACAGUCUAAUAUAAACACCACCCCUUUACAGCAGAUGGGUAAUAUAUGUAAUUGCAUGAAACAGACACGUUCCCUAAUCUUUAUCAUUCAUCUCCAUGGAGAAUCAUAGUGCAUCUGGUCUCUUGGAAUGUGUUUCUAUCUUCUUGAGGGACUCAGUCACUCCGCUCUGACUUGAGGUCUGUUGAUGUUGAAUGUGCCCCCUCUCCUCUCAGUUCUCAAACUCAGAUUCACUAUCGCUAGGCAGUCCUCCUAAUCUCUCCACCGCCCCUUGAAAUAUGUCCAUUAACUUCCCCUUAUUCACUCUCAGUCUGUCCUUCAUUCUUUUGAUCUCUCUGUUCUUCUCCUCCAUCUGUUUGUUGAACUCGCCCUCCAUCUUGGUGAUGCUGAUGAUUUUCUGUAGGCAAGUUAGGAUGAUCUUCAUGAGGUUUCUCUCUGCUGCUCCCUCCCAGACCUCUAUGUCAUAGCUCUCUCUCAUCUCCUCCAUCUCCUUUCUGUGACUCUCCUCCAUCUCCUCUGUCUCUCUCCACUCCCUUUUUCUUUUAUUUCUCACACUGGUCAGCUUUCUCUCCAGCUCCUCCAUCUCUUUCUUCUCCACUUUUCUCUUAUUUGUCACUCUGGUCAGCCUUCUCUCCAGCUCCUCUUUCUCUGUUAUCGCUUCAUUCUUUUUCUCUUCAUCCCUCUCUUCCUCCAUCUUGCUCUCCAUUACUGUUGUUCUCUCAUUUAAUAUUCUAAUUUCUCCUUCAAGCUGCUGAAUAUCACUCUCCCGCUUUUCAUCAAGUUCCUUUCUUUUCUCUAUCUCCUCCAUCAGUUUCCUCUCCUCCACCUCUUGUUCUUGCUGUAUCCUUCUCUCUAUCUUCCUGACCUGUUUCUCUGCCUCCUGGUAGGUCUGACUGCUGUAGAAUCU